GCGCCCUUAGCUCAGCGGAUUAGAGCAUCAGACUACGGAUCUGAGGGUCGGGGGUUCAAAUCCCUCAGGGCGCGCCA
Molecule: transfer RNA, 77 nt
Filed under: Deltaproteobacteria bacterium
Lineage: Bacteria; Pseudomonadati; Myxococcota; Myxococcia
Also listed under: 3 other names
Description: tRNA-Arg
Rfam family: tRNA
About the family: Transfer RNA (tRNA) molecules are approximately 80 nucleotides in length.
Source: RNAcentral